UUUACUGUGUUUGUUUUGUCUGGAGGAAAUUAAUUGUACUUUGUCAUGAGUGAUUGAAAUGGAUUCUGAUUCAACAUAGUGAUGGACAUGUUUAAACAUCUGCUAAAAAACAAAAUGACAUAACCGAUUUUGAAGAAAGCUCUCCACUUUCAAGUCUACUAAUAUGAUGAAAAAGAUAUUUGAGGCCGUAGUGCUGAUGUGGGUACAUCUGAUUGAAGCAAUCU
Long non-coding RNA from Coccinella septempunctata (seven-spotted ladybird), 224 nucleotides. RefSeq lists it as uncharacterized. The record is from RefSeq and is a predicted model, not a curated record. Lineage: Eukaryota; Metazoa; Arthropoda; Insecta; Coleoptera; Coccinellidae. The transcript is spliced from 2 exons.